Molecule: non-coding RNA, 23 nt
Filed under: Arabidopsis thaliana (thale cress)
Lineage: Eukaryota; Viridiplantae; Streptophyta; Magnoliopsida; Brassicales; Brassicaceae
Source: RNAcentral
UUGCAUAUUGAUUGUUACAUCUA